RNAcentral lists this ribosomal RNA (253 nucleotides) under uncultured bacterium. RNAcentral's name for it is "partial 16S ribosomal RNA". It matches the Rfam family "Bacterial small subunit ribosomal RNA", at positions 524 to 776 of the family's 1533-position model. The record is from RNAcentral.
UACGAAGGGGGCUAGCGUUGCUCGGAAUCACUGGGCGUAAAGGGUGCGUAGGCGGGUCUUUAAGUCAGGGGUGAAAUCCGGGAGCUCAACUCCAGAACUGCCUUUGAUACUGAAGAUCUUGAGUUCGGGAGAGGUGAGUGGAACUGCGAGUGUAGAGGUGAAAUUCGUAGAUAUUCGCAAGAACACCAGUGGCGAAGGCGGCUCACUGGCCCGAUACUGACGCUGAGGCACGAAAGCGUGGGGAGCAAACAGG